This 521-nucleotide ribosomal RNA is filed under the name uncultured bacterium. RNAcentral describes it as "partial 16S ribosomal RNA". It matches the Rfam family "Bacterial small subunit ribosomal RNA", at positions 28 to 523 of the family's 1533-position model. The record is from RNAcentral.
GACGAACGCUGGCGGUGUGCCUAAUACAUGCAAGUCGAGCGAGCCUCCGGAGGUGCUUGCACCUCCGGAAGGCCAGCGGCGGACGGGUGAGUAACACGUGGGCAACCUGCCUUUGAGGCCGGGAUAACACCGGGAAACCGGUGCUAAUACCGGAUACGUCCUCUUUCGCGCCUGCGAGAGGGGAGAAAGACGGUCUUUAAGGCCGUCGCUCAAAGAGGGGCCCGCGGCGCAUUAGCUGGUUGGUGGGGUAAGGGCCUACCAAGGCGACGAUGCGGUGCCGACCUGAGAGGGGGAUCGGCCACACUGGGACUGAGACACGGCCCAGACUCCUGCGGGAGGCAGCAGUAGGGAAUCAUCCGCAAUGGGCGAAAGCCUGACGGUGCAACGCCGCGCGAGUGAGGAAGGUUUUCGGAUCGUAAAGCUCUGUUGUGAGGGAAGAACAGCUUCCGGAGGAAAUGCCGGAGGUUUGCCGGUACCUCGCCAGAAAGCCCCGGCUAACUACGUGCCAGCCGCCGCCGUAA